AUGACCGCGGCAAUGCGGAUGCUAACAUAUGGAAUAGCAGCUGAUGGUGCUGAUGAGUACAUCCGGUCCGCUGAGGCUACUAAUUUAGAGUCUUGCAAGAAAUUUGUGAUCAAAGUUUGUGAAGUUUUUGGGGAAAGGUACCUGAGAUCUCCAAAUGAAGAAGACAUUGCUAGGUUACUUGCAAUAGGGGAGGAAAGAGGAUUUCCUGGUAUGUUAGGGAGCAUAGAUUGCAUGCACUGGGGUUGGAAAAAUUGCCCCAAAAAAUGGCAUGGCAUGUUUAAAGGCCAUGUCAGCGAGCCCACUAUGAUCUUGGAAGCAGUUGCUUCACAAGAUCUUUGGAUUUGGCAUGCUUAUUUUGGUUUACCAGGGUCUCUGAAUGAUAUAAAUGUUCUUCAACGUUCUCCUGUUUUUACAAAGCUAGCUGAAGGCCAAACUCCUCCAGUGAAUUAUAGCAUCAAUGGCCAUCAGUACACAAUGGGGUAUUAUCUUGCAGAUGGUAUCUAUCCACGAUGGGCAACAUUUGUGAAGAGCAUACCAGCUCCAGAUACCAGAAAACAUAAAACUUUUGCCAAGAGGCAAGAGGGGGCUAGGAAAGAUGUGGAACGAGCCUUUGGAGUUCUUCAAUCCCGUUUUGCCAUUGUUCGUGGACCUGCUAAAGGAUGGAAACGUAAAGAAAUCGGUGAUGUCAUGAAAGCUUGUGUCAUAAUGCACAAUAUGAUAGUUGAAGAGGAGCGACAAACUGGUCGGCAAAGCUGCACUUUUGAGGCAAUGGGAGAAAGAGUCACGGUCUCUCGUACUCAUGCGGAACAACUGAGCUCUUUUAUUCAGAUGACUCACCGGAUUAGAAAUCAAGGUGAACAUGAUCAGCUUAAACUUGAUCUAAUUGACCAUGUGUGGCAAAAGUUUGGAAACGAGUGA
This 918-nucleotide ribosomal RNA is filed under the name Triticum aestivum (bread wheat). RNAcentral describes it as "partial small subunit ribosomal RNA". Lineage: Eukaryota; Viridiplantae; Streptophyta; Magnoliopsida; Poales; Poaceae. The record is from RNAcentral.